This 959-nucleotide long non-coding RNA is filed under the name Homo sapiens (human). RNAcentral describes it as "non-protein coding lnc-SULT1A1-1:1". Lineage: Eukaryota; Metazoa; Chordata; Mammalia; Primates; Hominidae. The record is from RNAcentral.
AUGUUGGACUACAGCGUGUGGGGCCACACUGAGCGAUGAUGAAGAGGAGAGGCAUCCCAACACCCACCGGGCUAACCUCUUCCGCUGGCAGCACCAAGCCCGGGUGGAGCUCAUGGAGCAGUUCCAGAAGGAGAAGGAGGAACUGGACAGGGGCUGCUGGGAGUACAAGUGCAAGAUGGCCGAGUGCCAGAGGAAGCUGAAGGAGCUGGAGGUGUCAGAGGGUGCCAGGGUGGAGGUGGAGUGGCUACACGAGGAGCUGAGCUGGGAGCAAAAGCUGGAGGAGAUGCCCAAGAAAAAGAGCAUGACCUGGAACGUGGACACGCUCAGCAAAAGCAGUUUCAGGCUGGGUGAGACGGCUUUAGCAGGAGCAUGGUGAACACCAAGCCUGAUGAGAAGAUGGUCAACUACCUGGUCAUCUGGUGUGCUGAUCUAGAGGUGCAGGAGAAAUGCGCCCUCAUGGAGCAGGUGGUCCACUAGGCAAUUGUCACGCAGUUCAACCUGGUGUUGGUCAGGAGCCGGAAGGGGUCCCCCGGGUCUGCUUCUGGCAGUUCUUCACUGAGAUUCAGACGGCUGACUGCUAGUGCAUGGAGAGCUUCAAGGACGAGCUGGAAGCCUCCACGGAGCCUGUGCGGGGCUGCGCCAAGCUGCGCGUCUAGAAAGCAGGUGGAGCAGGAGUACUAGGAGGAGGAGCUCAAGAAGCAGCUUGGCCCUGAUGGCCUGGAACCCGUGGAGGUGACGAGUUCCCCCCUGAGGAACUCCAAAAGGGCUUCAAUGCGAAGGACGCGCAAAUGCAGCAAGAUGGACCCCACCAAGGCCAAGUUCCCCAUGCAGCAGUGUAUCGACGCCGGCCUCCGGGUCCCCAACUCUGAGGUCAGCGAGGCCAAGGAGGGAGAGGAGGAGUGUUCAGGGACCGGCUGCUGGAAGCUGUUCCCAAGACAGGCGGGGAUGUCAGUGCGUGA